RNAcentral lists this ribosomal RNA (467 nucleotides) under uncultured bacterium. RNAcentral's name for it is "partial 16S ribosomal RNA". It matches the Rfam family "Bacterial small subunit ribosomal RNA", at positions 29 to 507 of the family's 1533-position model. The record is from RNAcentral.
ACGAACGCUGGCGGCGUGCUUAACACAUGCAAGUCGAACGGAAAGGCCCUGCUUUUGUGGGGUGCUCGAGUGGCGAACGGGUGAGUAACACGUGAGUAACCUGCCCUUGACUUUGGGAUAACUUCAGGAAACUGGGGCUAAUACCGGAUAGGAGCUCCUGCUGCAUCGUGGGGGUUGGAAAGUUUCGGCGGUUGGGGAUGGACUCGCGGCUUAUCAGCUUGUUGGUGGGGUAGUGGCUUACCAAGGCUUUGACGGGUAGCCGGCCUGAGAGGGUGGCCGGCCACAUUGGGACUGAGAUACGGCCCAGACUCCUACGGGAGGCAGCAGUGGGGAAUAUUGCACAAUGGGCGGAAGCCUGAUGCAGCAACGCCGCGUGCGGGAUGACGGCCUUCGGGUUGUAAACCGCUUUCGCCUGUGACGAAGCGUGAGUGACGGUAAUGGGUAAAGAAGCACCGGCUAACUACGUG